GCUUCAAAAACAUUCAUCUUUGAUUUACCUUAUAAAUGGGAAAGAUGAAAAAGGGCAUACACCUGUCCAUCUAUGUAAGGCUUACCAUCCUAAAUUGCCUUAUUUCAUACGAAAGGGAAAUACUGAUAAGUUCAAGCUUUGGAGAAAACUGCAUUGUCAAAUCCCAAGAUACUCAUCCUCAAAGAAGAAGGAAAUUUUAGAAUGGAUGGAAGACCUUGGCACUGGACCACUGGGAGAAAUUCAGUACUACGAAAAAGAAAACAGAGAAGCAAACAUGAUGCUUAAAUUCGAAAAAGCCAAAGACUCUCAUUUGGUAGCUGCGGCACUUAUAGCAACAGUAACCUUUACUGCCGCAUUUACCGUACCUGGCGGUUUUUUAAGUGAUGAUAAAAGUGCUAAUACAAGUGCUGGCAAUUUGACACAAGCUAAUACAAGUGCCAACAAAAGGUAUUUAAAACUGGGGAGUCCUAUCCUAGCCGANNNNNNAAAGCAUUUAUCAUAUCAGAUACUAUAGCUAUGGUUUUAUCAACUUGUUCUGUCUUCAUUCAUCUUGUGCUGGCGAUCUCAGGGUAUCUGGAAAGAUACUAUUGGCUAAUAAGUUAUGCUUUUAAUUUCCUCUUCUUGGCUAUGCUGGCAAUGGUAAUUACAUUGGUGACGGGCGUUUGUGCAUAUUUAAAAGCAUCCUUAAGUGCAGUUGUUUAUGGCAUCGGAUUUAUCUUUUCGGUCUUCCUAUUUUAUUUGAUCAUAAGAGUAUUAUGGAGUUUCAGUUCUUUGGAUGACCAUGAAGAUGUUGUUGGUGUUAAAAAAAUUUUUUUAUGGCUGAUUGGCGGAAUCUUUUCUCGGUCGAGAAAAUUUUCAAAUGAUGAUGAUGACGAUGACGAUGACGAUCAUAAAAUGGAAGCUUUGCCUUUGCUGUGGCUGAUUGUCCGGAUCAUUUUGUGCUUGUGUAUUUUGUUUUUACUUCUUACACUGUUCCUGCGAUUAUUCUAUCCUCCUACCCAUGUGAAUUAUUAUUAAGAUUAUAAGAAAGUCGCCAAUUAAGGAAGAUAGUAAAGAAUGUUAUUUGGGUAAUAUGUUGCACUAGAGCAGAUACUUAGCAGCCUAUAACGGCAUAUGUACAUGGCAUGUAAUAUCUUUUUAGUUUAAUUC
This 1149-nucleotide unclassified non-coding RNA is filed under the name Hevea brasiliensis (rubber tree). Lineage: Eukaryota; Viridiplantae; Streptophyta; Magnoliopsida; Malpighiales; Euphorbiaceae. The record is from RNAcentral.